Bubalus bubalis (water buffalo) is the source of this 299-nucleotide long non-coding RNA. RefSeq lists it as uncharacterized. Lineage: Eukaryota; Metazoa; Chordata; Mammalia; Artiodactyla; Bovidae. The transcript has 2 exons. The record is from RefSeq and is a predicted model, not a curated record.
GGGGAGAUGUUUCAGUUCAUGAUUAGCCAGCUAUCCCUUUAUCUCUUGGAAUAGAAAAACGUGCUGGGAAGAAGUCUACAAACGGCAGUCACCUCCUGAAGCGAGGAAGGAUGGGCGUGUGAUCUCACUACAUCCAGGAAAAUCUGCUGAAUUGAACUAACCAGCGGCAGAGAGAACAGAAUGGAUCUUACCUUCGGUGAGGCUUCUUUAAAGAGAACCAUAAAGGUGUGUGUGGUGAGCUCUUCAAAGCGCUUUGCCUUUAUGUAGAGGAAUCAAAGAUAGUAAAUAAAUAAGCCAAA